ACAAACAGCCAUUUGCACAUACCAUUAGUGGACUGCUACAGAGAAGAUUAGCAAGACCCCUGUGAAAGAAUGAGUCACAGAUACAUGAAACAUUUCAUAUUUUU
This is a small nuclear RNA of Chiloscyllium plagiosum (whitespotted bambooshark), 104 nucleotides long. Lineage: Eukaryota; Metazoa; Chordata; Chondrichthyes; Orectolobiformes; Hemiscylliidae. The record is from RefSeq and is a predicted model, not a curated record.